This 460-nucleotide ribosomal RNA is filed under the name uncultured bacterium. RNAcentral's name for it is "partial 16S ribosomal RNA". It matches the Rfam family "Bacterial small subunit ribosomal RNA", at positions 338 to 795 of the family's 1533-position model. The record is from RNAcentral.
CCUACGGGUGGCUGCAGUGAGGAAUAUUGGUCAAUGGACGAGAGUCUGAACCAGCCAAGUAGCGUGAAGGAUGACUGCCCUAUGGGUUGUAAACUUCUUUUAUAAAGGAAUAAAACGAGGCACGUGUGCCUUUUUGCAUGUACUUUAUGAAUAAGGAUCGGCUAACUCCGUGCCAGCAGCCGCGGUAAUACGGAGGAUCCGAGCGUUAUCCGGAUUUAUUGGGUUUAAAGGGAGCGUAGAUGGGUUGUUAAGUCAGUUGGGAAAGUUUGCGGCUCAACCGUAAAAUUGCAAUUGAUACUGGCAGUCUUGAGUACAGUUGAGGUAGGCGGAAUUCGUGGUGUAGCGGUGAAAUGCUUAGAUAUCACGAAGAACCCCGAUUGCGAAGGCAGCAUACCUGUGCACAACUGACGCUCAGGCACGAAAGCGUGGGUAUCGAACAGGAUUAGAUACCCGAGUAGUC